This is a long non-coding RNA of Corapipo altera (White-ruffed manakin), 3456 nucleotides long. RefSeq lists it as uncharacterized. The record is from RefSeq and is a predicted model, not a curated record. The transcript is spliced from 3 exons. NCBI's taxonomy places the organism in Eukaryota, Metazoa, Chordata, Aves, Passeriformes, Pipridae.
UUGGACAUGUGCUACAGACAGAACAGAUAUUUUCACAUGCAAUUUUUCCAUGGUAAUAUGCAGACGGAACUGAGGCUGAUACACGUUGCAAAGGCAAAUGCAGUUCACACUACAGCUGACCACUGGUGAUUGAAGACUUUUGGAUAGGAGAACGUGACUGACAUCCAGCAACUGGUCAGCAUAACUGCUAUAUGAAGACCUCUGCCCUAGGAAGAAACAGGCACUACAAAUCAACUGCUGCACAGUAACGUGACUGCAAGAAGGCCAGAGGAAAAGUUAGACCUCAUGCUCUAACUUUUAUUUUCCACACCCUCCACAAUAGUAUACUUACACAACUAACUUGCCCAGCCUUAUCUGACCUUAUAUCUCUGCACAGGGGUUAGGAAAGGAGGCCAGGAAGAAGAGUUGUGAGCUAUUCCUGCCUCUCAGUUGCACUUAGCAUGUGACGGGAUCUGCCAAAUUUCACGGCUGAGCAUCUGACAGGCAGCAGAGACAGAGCUGCUACUCUGGGCUUUCUGCAUGCAGGAGCAGUUCAGUUGUACUGAACUGUCAGGCAGUGGCCAAGAAAUGCCAGUCGCAGGAUUCCUUAAAGGGCGAUGUCCCUCACGCACCCCAGGGACCGGCCGGGAAAGCUGAGGCCCGGUUCGCACCAGCGCCACCUGCUGCUCGGCGCUGUCUGAUGCAGCUCAACCAGCGAAAAUCUAAAUCCUGAAAAUUAUUUACCGUCUGGCAAACGCACCAAAAUACAGCAGUAACAUCUAACACUCUGCUUAUUUGCUAAUAUUUUCCCUUAAUGCCUCUCCAAGAAUUACUCUUUACCGUAGCUGAAGAGUAUGCUGUACUGUACUUGCACAAAUACACUUGUAUGCACACACGGAGGGAAGAAGUGUGGCUGAUGGCUUGAAGGCUAGUAACAUAAACUGGAACUAGCCAGCAUAGAAAAGAAUAUGUAUUUUCCAUUAUGUUACUCAUGCUAGUGAAAAUAGGUAAAAGGAAGCCGUUGGGUUUUUUUGUUUGUUUGUUUGUUUUUUAAAGGAAACAUCUUCCAAAGUUAAGGCAUUUUCAGCUUUGCAGAAUUACACAAAUUGUGAUGUUUUUACAUUUACAGCUCCAUUGCCAUUGAAUUUACAGCUAGUAUCCUCCUGUCUAUAAAUGCAUGGAUCCAUACCCUGGGUCUCUUUAAUACCUAUAUCGAUCAAUUUAGAUACAUUUUAUAAAAGCUGACAGUUUCUGUUAACUGAAGACUGAAUGGUAUGAUUGGAAUGCUGUGCAACUUUAAUUCAUAAUAUGAAAAGACUUGCAAUGCUAUGUGUAUUCAGACAACUAAAAGAAACUUAUUACUGCUUAUAUUGUUUGACAGUUAAAGGGAACAUGUUUAAUACUUGCAGUAUUUGCUAUUGGUCUUAAGCUGUAAAAAGUUUAAUGGAACACAUGCCAUUAUAUCUCAACCAACAAUCACAAGUUAUCAGAAGGAGGAGAAAAAUCACUUAAAAAUAUGACUUAACACAUAUCAAGCACUUAUUAGAAGGUAAAUAAAUAUAUUCCAGAGCAGAGUGAUUCAUUGAAAGAUUGCUUUUCUGUUUUGGAGAAAGACUUUAUACAAAAGAUAAAAGAAAGCAGCAAACAAGCUCUUCUGAGCCUAUACUUACAAUAUAUAUUAUAGCCUGACAUGGCUUAUACUUACUACUUGGGGCUCAGUUUUCAUAUAUAGAUCAUCAUGUUUUUGAGAACUGUUGUAAGUAGGAUAAAUGAGUCCUAAGGAAACUAAUGCAGAAUUACAGAUUUAAUUGAUCUUCCCAUAUCUAUUCCUUGUAAGAAUGUAUGUUUCAAGAUCUGCUGAAUUAAAUUAAAAAACCCAAGGCAGCAGCAAUUUCAGAAAAUUAAAACCUACUUCUGAAACAGAAAGUUGAAUUGUAGGAUCAGCUUAUUAUAUUAAUUAAGUAAAAUAUUAGUAUGUACAUAAUCUGUAUAAUAGACAACUUUUUUAUUCUUAACAAUAAGAGGAGAAAACACUGGCAUUGAGUCAAUUUUUAUUCUCCAAGGACCCACAUUUUUUAAAUUUCCAACUGAAUUAUUUUACAGUGAGAAUAAAAAACUAUUACUAGUAUGUAGGUUGUGUCAACAUGUAUUGUGCUUAAGGUUUUUCUGCUCCAUGUAAACUUGUUCUACAAGACACAUUCUAGGUGUCUUAUAUUAUGCAUGGUGGUUUAUAUUAGGCACACUUAUAUUAUGCAUUCUCUAAGUGGCAUAUAUUAUUAUUAUCUCUGCAAACUACCUGUGGGCAACACACCCUUGUUUUAGUAAUUGGUGUCUAUCACUGUCAAUGUGUAUUCCUACUGAGGAAUACAGUCUAAACAAAAACCAAGUUUUAUAGAAAUAUUUAUAUGGCAUCUCCAGUAGUCAUAUCAGCUUUAACUUGGUUUAAAAAUGUUAACAAUAUUUUAAAAAUUAUUUUAAUAUGCUAGUAACUAGUAAUAUAAGGGCUCUCAGUCACAUCUUAAUAGGUAGGGGCAGUAUUAUGUCUCAGCAGUUCUUUCACUUUUCACUACUUAGGUUUAUUUCACAGGACCAUUCUUUUUGAACAGCAUUAUUCCUAUGUGGAUCUCAUCACUGGAUAGCUCUCAAGAUCACAUUUUAAAUAUUAUCACUGCAAUACUCAGACAGUGACCGUGUCCUGCAGCGGUAUCUUUAGAGAGAGUCCAUUUUCCUUCUGUUCCCCUUUUAUUGAUUCCAGUUUACUCAGGCUCAAACUCUUCAUCUUUGUACCGGCAAAAGUACAUAUGAAGGAGUUUCAAAUACUAACCAUUUAGAUUCUUGAAUAUGUAUGCUACACACUACAUGCUCCUCUACUUUGUCCUCCACUUGGAGGUCAACCUGCUGGAGUAAUGUCACAGUUACUACAACAACUAUUACAAGCAACAAGAUAAGAAUAAAGAAGUAAAGUGGUGUGUGAUUGCUGCCAGUUGUAAGGGUCUGUAUCCGUCAUCUGUGGCACAAAUGCUCUUAUGCCCUUUGAAACAAGAACCCAGUCUCACCAGAGACUGGUGAGUAAAAGAAAGUAAUCAUAACAAAAAAACCAAACCCGCCACAUAAACCCAGUAACAGUCUUACUCACAGAAUUUGUUCCUUUAUUUCUUAGGGAAGCAGAUAAAUAGCAGUUACCUCCUUUCUUAUUCGUUUACUUAUUUCUCUCCAAGUAAACUCUAAUAAUGCAAAAAUCCAUGCAUUUCUUUUCCUCCCCUAACACAAUAAAAUGAAAACUGUCCAGAGACAUUUAAGAAUGGGUGACUGAAACGUUUCCUGUAAACUCAGACAUUGCUUUUAAGUUGAUUUUUAAUUUGUUGUUGCUGUAACUUGAUACAAAGUCUCUUUUUGGUGUAAUUAUAUCCCCUCACUUCGGGGCAAGAACAGAGAAAUAGACAAAUGUAACUAACCUCUUCCUAGUUUUCUGGAAAA